Molecule: unclassified non-coding RNA, 353 nt
Filed under: fungal sp.
Lineage: Eukaryota; Fungi
Description: partial internal transcribed spacer region
Rfam family: Eukaryotic small subunit ribosomal RNA (bases 1-46)
Source: RNAcentral
AAGUCGUAACAAGGUUUCCGUAGGUGAACCUGCGGAAGGAUCAUUAUCAAAUAAUCCGAAACUUUUUUUUAAAGUAUUCUUCAUUGAAUAUUUUAAAAAAAUAUCAACCAACCGUGAACUGUUUUGCCUCCAACGAGGAAGGGUUUGAACGUGUGGGGUGAAUGCCCUACAUUAGUACUUUCUUUGUUGGUUGUAUUUUUAAUAUAUUUUAUUAACCCUUCUAACAAAAACCUUUUAAACUUAAAAUUCUGAACUGAAUUAAUUUUCUUUUUCCUAUUCAUUUUAGGAAAAUUAAAAUAAAAAUACGAAAAAUUUUAUCAGAACAACUCUUAGCAACGGAUAUCUUGGUUCUC